Molecule: ribosomal RNA, 489 nt
Filed under: uncultured bacterium
Lineage: Bacteria
Description: partial 16S ribosomal RNA
Rfam family: Bacterial small subunit ribosomal RNA
Source: RNAcentral
GAUGAACGCUAGCUACAGGCUUAACACAUGCAAGUCGAGGGGCAGCGGGAUUGAAGCUUGCUUCAAUUGCCGGCGACCGGCGCACGGGUGAGUAACGCGUAUCCAACCUUCCGUACACUCAGGGAUAGCCUUUCGAAAGAAAGAUUAAUACCUGAUGGUAUGAUGAGAUUGCAUGAUAUCAUCAUUAAAGAUUUAUCGGUGUACGAUGGGGAUGCGUUCCAUUAGGUAGUAGGCGGGGUAACGGCCCACCUAGCCAACGAUGGAUAGGGGUUCUGAGAGGAAGGUCCCCCACAUUGGAACUGAGACACGGUCCAAACUCCUACGGGAGGCAGCAGUGAGGAAUAUUGGUCAAUGGACGAGAGUCUGAACCAGCCAAGUAGCGUGAAGGAUGAAGGUCCUACGGAUUGUAAACUUCUUUUAUAAGGGAAUAAACCCUCCCACGUGUGGGAGCUUGUAUGUACCUUAUGAAUAAGCAUCGGCUAACUCCGU